This 66-nucleotide transfer RNA is filed under the name Dipus sagitta (northern three-toed jerboa). RNAcentral's name for it is "tRNA-Lys". The record is from RNAcentral. Lineage: Eukaryota; Metazoa; Chordata; Mammalia; Rodentia; Dipodidae.
CAUUAUGAAGCUUAUAGAGCAUUAGCCUUUUAAGCUAAAGAAGAGGCAACCUAGCCCCCAUAAUGG